Molecule: long non-coding RNA, 209 nt
Filed under: Gallus gallus (chicken)
Lineage: Eukaryota; Metazoa; Chordata; Aves; Galliformes; Phasianidae
Source: RNAcentral
AAAAGAGUGAUUGGAGACGUGGAGACAUCAAUGGGGCCCAAUGGGACGUAUGGGGGCAUGGAGGACUCCAAUGGGGACCCAAUGGGGCCAUGGGGAACCCAAUGGGACACUGGGACAUCAUGGGACCCCAAUGGGACAUGGAGGACCCCAAUGGGCCGUGGGGACGUCCCCAUGCAGUCCCUGCUGCAGCUGGCCGCAUUGCUGGCCGG